RNAcentral lists this ribosomal RNA (359 nucleotides) under uncultured fungus. Its description in RNAcentral is "eukaryotic LSU rRNA". The stretch from base 1 to 113 matches the Rfam family "5.8S ribosomal RNA", at positions 42 to 154 of the family's 154-position model. The record is from RNAcentral. Lineage: Eukaryota; Fungi.
AACGCAGCGAAGGGCGAUAAGUAAUGUGAAUUGCAGAAUUCAGUGAAUCAUCGAAUCUUUGAACGCACCUUGCGCCCUUUGGUAUUCCGAAGGGCACGCCUGUUUGAGUGUCGUGAAAUUCUCAACCCUGUGCUUUUCUUGUGAAAGCGCGUGGGCUUGGACUUAGAGGCUUUGCUGGUCCUCGCGGAUCGGCUCCUCUCAAAUGCAUUAGCGAGACCCUUGUGGUGCCGCCCCCGGUGUGAUAAUUGUCUACGCCGUGGUGGUACGCCACGAUUGUGGGGGGCCUGCUUCCAACCGUCGAAAGACAAACUUUAUCGAAACUUGACCUCAAAUCAGGCGGGACUACCCGCUGAACUUAA